This 415-nucleotide ribosomal RNA is filed under the name uncultured Streptococcus sp. RNAcentral's name for it is "bacterial SSU rRNA". It matches the Rfam family "Bacterial small subunit ribosomal RNA", at positions 45 to 442 of the family's 1533-position model. Lineage: Bacteria; Bacillati; Bacillota; Bacilli; Lactobacillales; Streptococcaceae. The record is from RNAcentral.
UGCCUAAUACAUGCAAGUGGAACGCAUGAUUGAUACCGGAGCUUGCUCCACCAUUAAUCAUGAGUCGCGAACGGGUGAGUAACGCGUAGGUAACCUACCUCAUAGCGGGGGAUAACUAUUGGAAACGAUAGCUAAUACCGCAUAACAGUAUUUAUCGCAUGGUAAAUGCUUGAAAGGAGCAAAUGCUUCACUAUGAGAUGGACCUGCGUUGUAUUAGCUAGUUGGUGGGGUAACGGCUCACCAAGGCAUCGAUACAUAGCCGACCUGAGAGGGUGAUCGGCCACACUGGGACUGAGACACGGCCCAGACUCCUACGGGAGGCAGCAGUAGGGAAUCUUCGGCAAUGGGGGGAACCCUGACCGAGCAACGCCGCGUGAGUGAAGAAGGUUUUCGGAUCGUAAAGCUCUGUUGUAAG